Molecule: long non-coding RNA, 2135 nt
Organism: Impatiens glandulifera
Lineage: Eukaryota; Viridiplantae; Streptophyta; Magnoliopsida; Ericales; Balsaminaceae
Exons: 3
Source: RefSeq, a predicted model, not a curated record
UAGCAUAAACAAGAAGGGAACGGUGAUGAUAGAAAAGUUCAAGACCAGACGGAUAUGGAGGUCUAUCAAGCUGCUGUUUGUUGCUGCUGCUACUCCAUCCAAGGCUGGACCUUUCUAUAGGAAAAGGAAACUGUGAAAUACGGGUCACAAUUGAUAACAGGUGCAAAGAAGUUCGAUUAGACAAUAAGUUACAAAUAUAGGAAAUAGAGGUUUACUUGCAACAACUCGACUAUAUGCGUGAGCAGUCAGUUCUUGUGCUGGAAGCAUUGAAAUCCAAGACAAACUAAGUAAAUAGGUAAACAUGUUGAAGACAUAUUGUUGAUGGUUUCGAUUUGGUUAUGAAUUUCUAGAUUAUUUUGUUGUCAACUAAGUGUUUUGCAGUCAUGUUCCAGCAAAAAUUGGAUGAUAUAGGGAUUAAGUGUAGGUUGUUUUAAACUCUAUCUUUCUUAUGUUUAUUAUCCCUUAGAAUUUGAAUGUUAAUGAAUGAAUAAGUGUGGCUCUUAGGUGAUUGGUUUGUAUUGACAGGUUAGUUAGUAUAGAAUUAGGUUAUAGUUUAGUAUACAAUUGAUAGCAGGUGACUAUGAAGAUUUCUGUUUUUCUUGAAUCCUUGCAGUGGGGAAAUGCUGAGUAUCCCAAGAGCCAUUGGAAAACUUGAGGGCUUCUUCUGUAAAUUAGAGCUUCAAGAAGCUGUGUGCAUAUUAUUUAACUUUGUAUAAUGUGGUGGUUGGUCUGUUUUCAAUCUGAUUGCUUGCAAUGAUGAUUCCUAAUUAUAUAGUCAUGCAUUUGCUUGCUGAGUCUAUUUCAGGUUAUUAUGUUAGAUACAGUCGGUGCAGAAUUGCUACCCAUCAACUUCCCUGGAUUGGAUUGGCAAAGGUUGAGGAGGAACAUUGUGUUCUGGAGUGAUGUAGGGGUUAAUCAGCAUUGGUUGUGUUUUUACAGACAAUGAAGAAGGGAGAGGAGACACCAUCUUUGUUGGUCAGUACUUAUUUACAGGCAGUUAAUCUACUUCUGUUUGGCUAGAGGUAGUUUCUCUAUCCCUUGAUCAUAUCCAUGUCUAGAAAUAUUAGUUUUUUUUUUGUGUGUACUGUAUAUUGUUUUCUAUAAAAGAGUUGAUUUCUUUAUCAUGAAACUAGAGCUGAGGUUUUAUCUGAGUUGAUGAGCUGGUAGGAUGAUAAUUCCGUGGUUAUUUAUUCGUCUGAUUAAGUGAAAGGGGAGGAUGUGGUCUGUGUGAUAAAGAACACUGCAACUUUAACUGGGUCACUGUUCACCUUACAUGCCUCACAAGUUCACAUCGAUCUGCCUACACUCUCUGAUAGGGAUAAAGAGGUGAAAAUGAUUUGGAUAGACAAAAUGACUCCAUUUUAUAGAUGUAUUUGUUGAUCACCUACAAAUUGAAUGGUGUGGGUAAGCUACAACUUCUUCUUGCUCAUUGAUUUCCUUCUAUUCUAGUGUUUUCCUCUAACCCCUUUUGUUUCUCAUUAAACUUCAAUGUCGACGCAGUUUGUAGUUUCUCAUUAAACUUCAACAUUGACGCAGUUUGUAGAUUUAUGAACUUGAGAUAGGAAUCUUGUUAUCAAACCUAAUAAUCGUGGAUAGUUAUUAAACUUUUUGUACAUAUAUAUAUUUUUCUAAUGGAAUAGUUACUAGCAUAUAGCAUGGACUUGUUUGGUUAUGAGUUAGAAUCACUUUUGAUUGACUAACAGCUAGUUUUUAUUGACAUAAAAGAGGCUUGUAAUUGAUCAUACACUCGACAUGUAGAGGAUGUUCUUGAAGCUCGUGAUUUCCUAGCAAAGCUAGGUGAUCUUUCUCAAACUCAAAUAUUUGCAAAAAUUGAGAAUGUUGAGGGCUUAACCCAUUUUGAUGAGAUCCUACAAGAGGUGGAUGGAAUUAUUCUUUCUCCUGGCAAUCUUGGAGUUGAGCUCCCACCUGAAAUGGGAAAAGGUUUAAAGUUCACAUAGGCUUUGUGUUCCUAGAUAAGCAAAGACUCUUUUCAUCUGCCUAUGAACCAUGCUUAGCAUCAUUUUGUCUCACAUGAUUCUUAUACAGAAACUUGGGUUUUGUAAAGGAAUGAUUCUUAGAUUUUAUUAAUAUACUCUUAAGCCUUCUUCAAGAAGCUGCUUGGAAUUCUUAAUACU